AGUGAACGCUGGCGGUAGGCCUAACGCAUGCAAGUCGAACGGCAGCACAGUAAGAGCUUGCUCUUACGGGUGGCGAGUGGCGGACGGGUGAGGAAUACAUCGGAAUCUACUUUUUCGUGGGGGAUAACGUAGGGAAACUUACGCUAAUACCGCAUACGACCUACGGGUGAAAGCAGGGGAUCUUCGGACCUUGCGCGAUUGAAUGAGCCGAUGUCGGAUUAGCUAGUUGGCGGGGUAAAGGCCCACCAAGGCGACGAUCCGUAGCUGGUCUGAGAGGAUGAUCAGCCACACUGGAACUGAGACACGGUCCAGACUCCUACGGGAGGCAGCAGUGGGGAAUAUUGGACAAUGGGCGCAAGCCUGAUCCAGCCAUACCGCGUGGGUGAAGAAGGCCUUCGGGUUGUAAAGCCCUUUUGUUGGGAAAGAAAAGCAGCAGGUUAAUACCCCGCUGUUCUGACGGUACCCAAAGAAUAAGCACCGACUAACUUCGUG
Molecule: ribosomal RNA, 492 nt
Filed under: uncultured bacterium
Lineage: Bacteria
Description: partial 16S ribosomal RNA
Rfam family: Bacterial small subunit ribosomal RNA
Source: RNAcentral